CAAUAGCGUAUAUUUAAGUUGUUGCAGUUAAAAAGCUCGUAGUUGGAUUUCGGGUGUGAACGACCGGUCCGUCUUUGACGUGUACUGGUUGGUUGCGCCUUAUUGUCGAGGACGUGGUUCUAGCUUUCAUUAGCCGGGACACGGAGUCGGCAGCGUUACUUUGAGAAAAUUAGAGUGUUCAAAGCAGGCUAUCGCUCUGAAUACUACAGCAUGGAAUAACACGAUAGGACUCCGAGCCUAUUCUGUUGGUCUUCGGGACCGGAGUAAUGAUUAAGAGGGACAGUUGGGGGUAUUCGUAUUCCGAUGUCAGAGGUGAAAUUCUUGGAUUAUCGGAAGACGAACAUCUGCGAAAGCAUUUGCCAAGGAUGUUUUCAUUAA
This 378-nucleotide ribosomal RNA is filed under the name uncultured eukaryote. RNAcentral describes it as "partial 18S ribosomal RNA". It matches the Rfam family "Eukaryotic small subunit ribosomal RNA", at positions 592 to 976 of the family's 1831-position model. The record is from RNAcentral.